CUCCCCCCCCCCGCGUACACAUCCCUUAGGAGAUUCUCCACGCAGUAUGUAUGUGAUGGAGUGACUCCGGAUUUGCACCUUUUCAUCAGGUUCUCUUCAUUUCUUAGAUUCUGUUUCCAAAAAAAUCAUAAAAUCUGCUUAGAACCAGAUGCUACUUGUGAUCCCCACCCCCAACCCCCCUCUUCCUUCAUCUUAUUCAUGAGAAAACAGGCAUUGAGAAAGAGAUCGUCUUCAGAUGGGACUAGAAUCACGUCUCCCCGGCCAGCACUGGGCUGCUCUGUGUCAGUUCGUCUCCGGGUCGUGUAUACACGACCCACCGCGCUACCCAGACGAGCUAGUGGAAACCUGUUGAUACCUGACUUCCUAAAGACUAAUUUCCUUCUCAAAUCUCUCUGCUCUGUUCUUUUGCUUCCCAAGCAUAUGGCCUUGAAAUCCUCUUUCUUUUUCUUUUUCCGUCCUUUUCAUCACAGACACAUGCUUCGUCUAGAUAUUACUGAAAUGUGAAGAAUACUCCGAAGCAGAGUCUCAUUUCCUGAGAAGUAGCCUUCUAAGUGAAUCAAGAUGCAAUACAGAAUCACUCUGUUUUUAGUGGUGAAGGUGAAAUCUUUAUAACCUGUCUACUCUCCAGAAGUCCUCGAGACUUAACAAGGAAGGCGUAGAUAAAAUAAAACAAACACCGAACAAGGUAAAAAAAAUACCAAAUUGUAAAGAAGGAGAGGGAAACAUAUAUUUACCAUAACAUUGUGCACAGUCCUGGUUAAGGACCUUGGCAUUUGAACUUGACUUCUUUAGGAGCCACGACAAAGCUGUGACAGAACCAUCCUUGUCUCCUACCAGGACAAACACUGGUUUCAUUUUCACCGCCCGGUUCUGAGGGAAGUUUGCUGUUAGAGGGCAUUAGACAAGAAAAUGAGUUUUUGUGGAAUUCGGUGAAGGCCAUGGGUGAAAAUGUGACCCGGGGCUGGGGACUCAGGAUGACUUAGCCCAGGUGUAUGGCCUUUUCCUAAUCUGGCUUUAUACCAAGACAAGGCUUGAAUAAAUAAUGCAAGAAUCAAUUUUUCCCGUCUGGCUUGGUGAUGAAUUGAGGUCAUUAUUGAGCGCCUAACGGAUGCGUUUUCUGCAUCGUCGACUGAAAGAGAAUUCACAUGCUGCAGAAUUAGUACCUCGGAAUGGAGUUCGCGAAGGCCGUGUUGUAUUGGGUAAAAGGAGAAUCUGCCUUCAUAAUCAAGGGCCCCCUCUGUCUAGGGGAAGGUCACAGGCAGGACCUGGGUGUUUCUCAGAAGCAUUCCUCAGUAGUACUCAGAGCCCCCAGACCCUGAGCUGUAGAGCAGGGACGACAGUGUUUAGGAUAAGAGAUAAUAAAGAGCUACCCUUAGGCUAGAAGACUCUAAAGACAGCUUCCAUGAUGUGUUUCUUUAGAAGCAUCUUCCACCCCAUGCUUUUCCUCAGACCCUCUGGUAUAGAUUUGGGACUCUUUUCUGUUGGCUGGGACACUGACAGUGCAGUGCCACAUGGUCCAGACCCCCAUGACAGGAAACGCAGGUUCCUUGACUCUAGUCCUAAGCUGCUCUCGCAACUCUUCCCGCUCACUAGUCAUUGGAAACGUUACGAAGGAAGGUUUCUGAGAAGUUGUGCCGCCCUGAAGUGUGUUCUUGAGAGUCAGGGGCUGAAGCCCUGUCAGUCAGAUAUCUGCUGAGGGCCGGCUCCCCCUCUGGCAGGAGCUUCCACCUGGAACCAUUGGAAACGACACCCAAAUGUGGCAGGAACGGGUGAGCCGCGUCAUCGUUUGUGGACGCAGGGAGGGCAUACAUAAACAAUGACCAGUUUUAAGUGUCACGGUCUCUCUGCUUUACACAAAUGACAUUUAAGGGCAUAGGUUUUAUGAUGAGAAGUAGGGAGUCGAAGUUUAAAAACUCAGUGACAAGUUUUAUGAAACCUGGGGAGAACCUCCCACUCGUCUCGUACGACGAUCCGAUCUAUAUGUAAAGAAAGACACAAUACCACAACGGAAAUCAAUAAUCCUGAGAGGAGGAGAAGGAACAAGAGAAUACAAAUAAAUCUGGGGCGGGGGCGCCUGGGUGGCUCCGUCGGUUAAGCGUCCGACUUCGUCUCAGGUCACGAUCUCGUAGUUUGUGAGUUCGAGCCCCGCGUCGGGCUCCGUGCUGACAGCUCAGAGCCUGGAGCCUGCUUCCGAUUCUGCGUCUCCCUGUCUCUCUGUCCCUCACCUACUUGCACUCUGUCUCUCUCUGUCUCCCAAAAAUAAAUGAAUGCUAAAAAAAAAAAUUAAAAAGAAAAAAUAACUCUGGGGUUUUUCGUAUCUAGAAGUGAAGAAAAAAGUUUGGUAUCUGGAAAGGCACUCAAGGUUUAUUACCUAUAAGGCCCUGGGAGACGGUGCAGGUUUUCAGGAGGUCAGAUGACAAGGACAAGGGAAGGCACGAGUCCGAUGGAGCCGGGCUGCAGGAGAGGUGGCUGGGGAGGAGCUCUGAGCUCAGCUGGUCACAGCCGCCAUCCUGAGGCGACCAGAGUAAAAUGGAGCGUCACGGCCUGGGCUCCGUUGCUGCCAUUCGGCACAGACACAUAGCACUGUUGUUUGAGUCCCAGCAUCUCUGCAGGCUUUCCCCAAACCAUUCCAUUUUCUUGUGUGUGUGUGUGUGUGUGUUUAAGGUUUUAUUUUUAAGUAAUCUCUGCUCCCAACGUGGGGCUCGAACCCCCACCCCCCACCCAGAUCAGGAGUCACAGGCUCCACCGACUGAACCAGCCAGGUGCCCCUCAUUUUCUUGUUUGCAAAAUGGGGAUCCCACCUCUUCAGCCUCCCUCAGGGCGUUCUGUGGGGACCGCAUGAGUGACAUUUGCUUGAGGAUGAGGACGUUUUCAUCCUUCAAUGUGGACCAAGUGCCAGGACAAGGGGGCUGGUAGAAAUGUUUGCUCCCGUGCCCCGCGGCCAGUUUAUGCCCCACUGCUCUCUUCUUUGCAUUGGACGCCUGGGUUACGUUUUUUGGUUGGCAUUGGACCGGAGCUGUUUCAGAUUCGAACGCUUCAUUUGUCCUGGACAAGUUAUUUAUCCUUUCAAGCUCCGUCUUAUCAUCUGUAAAAUGGGUUUGGUAUUUCUUGCCAUGUUGUUACGAGGACAAAAGGAGAUAAGGAAUAUGAAAGCAUCUGGGGGCGCCUGAGUGGCUCAGUCGGUUGAGUGUCUGACUUCGGCUCAGGUCAUGAUCUCGCAGUUCGUGGGUUCGAGCCCCACGUCGGGCUCUGUGCUGACAGCUCGGAGCCUGGAACCUGCUUCGGAUUCUGUGUCUCCCUCUCUCUCUGCCCCUCCCCUUUUCACACUCUGUCUCUCUCUCUCUCUCUCUCUCUCUCUCUCUCAAAAAUAAACAAACAUUAAAAAUAAACUUAAAAAAAUAACAACAAAAAAUAAAAUAAAAGCAUCUGGCAGAAUUAGUAGUCAUGGCACAUUCAGUAAAUGUUAGGUUUUCUCCCCUUUUUCUGUAGUUGUGCCCUUGGAAGAAAAAUUCCCUUGAAAGAGAAGUGACUUCAGUUUUGUGUCAGUGUCUUCCAUAAAGGGAGAAACAAAAAUCUUUCAAAAUUUUAUUUAAAAUAUUCAACUGAUGGAAAACACAUGACGAUAGUAAAUAAUCUUGGGGCUCCUGGCUGGCGCAGUCAGAAGAGCAUGGAACUCUUGAUCUCAGGGUCGUGUGAGCCCCAUGUUGGCUGUAGAAAUUACUUAAAUAAAUAAAACUUAAAAAAAAAAAGAGAGAGAGUAAGUAAUGUUAAAGAUUUCCGGUUUGGGGAGCCCUAACGAUUUAAAUGUGACCUGAUGCUUUCUUGCAGACUUGGGCCGGGUGGUCCGGCUUAGUGCCUGAGCUCUGACUUAGGAGCGAGACUGACGGGGUCCCACCAGUUGCCAGCUCUAUGACCUUGGACAAGUUCACCUGUCUGUGCCUCAGUUUCCUCUUUUGUACGAGAGAAACGCGCGUCUCUGUCUCAUCUGGGUCAGCUUGUAUUCGAGGAGCUUCGUGGGGAUAGGAGAGCUUCGCCUUUGGUGAGGGAAGCACUUCGUGCUUUUGGUGACCUGCAGGUCCCCCACCGGGUGCUGUCACUACUACUGAAGACAUUCGUCAUCGUGACAGGUGGUUCUCCGCUCUGUGCCUGGUGCCCGAGACCCUGUGCAGGCCACUUAGAGGGGAUCCUUCGUUUUAAGUCACUACAGAGUGCCGUUCUCUACGGAUACUGUAUUUCAACUCUUUUGUGUCCACGGUUUCAAAAUUUUCCACUCACACUGCUCUUUUGACGCGUUCAGGAAACGGUCGUCUUUUCGGCGCUUCUAAUUCUUUCCGUUUUCGUGGACCCCUCGUUCAUCUCUAAUAAAAUGUGAGCUGUAUUUAUCUGAAAAUUUAAAAUCGAGAUGUUACUAAGCUACUUGUGACCGCACUCUCUUUUGUUCGUAGAUUAAAACAGAAAGAAGAGGGGCGUCUUGGUGGCCCAGUCGGUUAAGUGUCUGAUUUUUCAUUUUGGCUCAGGUCGUGAUCUCACGGUCCUGAGAUGGAGAUUGUCUCUUUCCCGGAGCGCCUGGGUGGCUCAGUCGGUUGAGUGUUCGACUCAGAUCACGAUCUCAUGGUUAGUGAGUUCGAGCCCCACAUCGGGCUCGCUGCUGUCGGGGCAGAGCCUACUUUGGAUCCUCUGUCCUCUUCUCUCUGCCACUCCCCUGCUCAUAUGCACUUCUUUCUCUCUC
Molecule: long non-coding RNA, 4729 nt
Organism: Neofelis nebulosa (Clouded leopard)
Lineage: Eukaryota; Metazoa; Chordata; Mammalia; Carnivora; Felidae
Exons: 2
Source: RefSeq, a predicted model, not a curated record